UAGGGAAUCUUCCACAAUGGACGCAAGUCUGAUGGAGCAACGCCGCGUGAGUGAAGAAGGUUUUCGGAUCGUAAAGCUCUGUUGUUGGUGAAGAAGGAUAGAGGCAGUAACUGGUCUUUAUUUGACGGUAAUCAACCAGAAAGUCACGGCUAACUACGUGCCAGCAGCCGCGGUAAUACGUAGGUGGCAAGCGUUGUCCGGAUUUAUUGGGCGUAAAGCGAGGGCAGGCGGAAUGAUAAGUCUGAUGUGAAAGCCCACGGCUCAACCGUGGAACUGCAUCGGAAACUGUCAUUCUUGAGUGCAGAAGAGGAGAGUGGAAUUCCAUGUGUAGCGGUGGAAUGCGUAGAUAUAUGGAAGAACACCAGUGGCGAAGGCGGCUCUCUGGUCUGCAACUGACGCUGAGGCUCGAAAGCAUGGGUAGCGAACAGG
This 429-nucleotide ribosomal RNA is filed under the name bacterium. Its description in RNAcentral is "partial 16S ribosomal RNA". It matches the Rfam family "Bacterial small subunit ribosomal RNA", at positions 355 to 776 of the family's 1533-position model. The record is from RNAcentral.